Schistocephalus solidus is the source of this 57-nucleotide non-coding RNA. NCBI's taxonomy places the organism in Eukaryota, Metazoa, Platyhelminthes, Cestoda, Diphyllobothriidea, Diphyllobothriidae. The record is from Rfam.
UGGCUCAAUGGUAGAGCGUUCGACUCAAAUACCAAAGGUCUCGGGUUCGAAUCCCAG